Molecule: ribosomal RNA, 240 nt
Filed under: Bacillus sp. 30_1T
Lineage: Bacteria; Bacillati; Bacillota; Bacilli; Caryophanales; Bacillaceae
Description: partial 16S ribosomal RNA
Rfam family: Bacterial small subunit ribosomal RNA
Source: RNAcentral
GCCUGUAAGACUGGGAUAACUCCGCGGUAAACCGGGGCUAAUACCGGAUAACUCAUUUCCUCGCAUGAGGAAAUGUUGAAAGGUGGCUUUUAGCUAUCACUUACAGAUGGACCCGCGGCGCAUUAGCUAGUUGGUGAGGUAACGGCUCACCAAGGCGACGAUGCGUAGCCGACCUGAGAGGGUGAUCGGCCACACUGGGACUGAGACACGGCCCAGACUCCUACGGGAGGCAGCAGUGGU